AAUAUUUACUUUAUAGAAAUGGUUUAGCGUCGUCAGAAAAAGUCCGUUAGCAUCUCAAAGAAGUGCCAGAAAAAAACCUCUAUGACGCAGGAGAAGUUCCUGAUUUUAACAUUUCUGAAGGGAGCUGCUGACAGAGAGGAUGAAAACAUACACAUUUUGAUGUCCACGCUGUAGGAGCAUUACUAAAUAAUGCUUAUGUUCCUAGGUUCUUCCAUGCUGAUGGCUGUGCUCUAGAGUCAUAUCUCCUGUCGAAGAACAUUUUUAGACAUUAUGAACCAUGAAUAAGUUUAGCUCCAACCCCAGUUAAGCAGACCUGAGCAGCUGAUCAAGGAUCAGCAGAAACUCUGCAGAACGGUGGUCCUCCAGCCCAGGACUGGACACCAGUGUUAGUGUCUGUCUUAGAAGCUGAAGAAAAAAGGCCACACCUUAUAGGAAAUAAACGCCUCCUAAGUGUAUGGAAAUACCUGGCUGAGGAGAUCAGUGACAUAAACCAGAUAAAACUGUCAGUGGUCUGAGACGGCUACAAGCCACAAAAAACAGUUCAUAGUUCCUGCAUUUCUAUAAUGCAUAAAUGAAUAACAAUAAUUAAAAUAAAAUGUAAUGUCAAGGUUUUGUGUUAAUUCCAGCUAUGUUGAGUAUUCUGUGAAUAAUUUUGAUUUUAGGUGCAUAUUCUUAAUUCUUUGCAAAACAACUUGAACUGUUUGCUAUUGAAAGGUUGGUAUGAAGUUUAAAUAAAUAAAAACAUUAUAUUCUUGACAAAACCUGUGUACAGUUUGUAUUAAUAAUUUAAAUUAUUUACUUAUAUUAAUUAAUGGCCUAAUUACCAGCUAUCAGUUAAACAUUCAAAUCAGAACCAAUAUAAAACUGCAACGAAAACUAUUAAAUAUAUGCAAAUAAAGACCAGUACAAACUUGCAAUGGAACCAUCAGAACCAUUACAAAACUGACG
This is a long non-coding RNA of Carassius auratus (goldfish), 948 nucleotides long. RefSeq lists it as uncharacterized. Lineage: Eukaryota; Metazoa; Chordata; Actinopteri; Cypriniformes; Cyprinidae. The record is from RefSeq and is a predicted model, not a curated record. The transcript has 6 exons.